RNAcentral lists this microRNA precursor (169 nucleotides) under Oryza brachyantha (malo sina). RNAcentral describes it as "MIR812 microRNA precursor family". It matches the Rfam family "MIR812 microRNA precursor family", at positions 27 to 193 of the family's 205-position model. Lineage: Eukaryota; Viridiplantae; Streptophyta; Magnoliopsida; Poales; Poaceae. The record is from Rfam by way of RNAcentral.
UAUAAUUUUUGACUCUUUGUUUUAUUCAAAAUUUUUUUAUGGUUGAUAUUUUUGUUUUUAUUAAAUGGUAAAUCAUGAAUAAUACUUCACGUGUGACUAAUUUUUUUUUAUUUUUUUAAAAAAAUAUUAAAUAAAACGGAUGGUCAAACGUUGGACGUGGAAACCGAAG